RNAcentral lists this long non-coding RNA (4525 nucleotides) under Gossypium raimondii (Peruvian cotton). RNAcentral describes it as "long non-coding RNA (GRAI_LNC001431)". The record is from RNAcentral. Lineage: Eukaryota; Viridiplantae; Streptophyta; Magnoliopsida; Malvales; Malvaceae.
AUAUGAGUCACAAAGGCCCAACCCAAGCUCAAGAACGUGAUGGGCUCAAAUUACCACAAGGCCCAAUAACGAGGUCAAAGGCCAGACAAAUGCGUUCCAAACUAAAUGGGACCAUUCAGGAAUUUGUUAGCAAGGCCUUAGAUGCGUACAUGAAAGAAAGAGAAAAUCAAGAUUCACUUUCUUGUUUUCAAGAAAAUCAAGAAACUGAAUCUUGGCCCAAUUUUGCUGGUUGGAGCGAUUUCAAGAAUCAAGAAAAUCAAGAUUUCAAAUCUUGGAAAUCUUGGUCCAAGAAACCGAAUCUUGCAGCCAAAGCGCAUUGGAUCUCUGUUACGAGCGUCAACUAACCAAUUUCAGUAGGAGAUGGACUACAAGCCCAAGUUCUUGAAGNNNNNNNNNNNNNNNNNNNNNNNNNNNNNNNNNNNNNNNNNNNNNNNNNNNNNNNNNNNNNNNNNNNNNNNNNNNNNNNNNNNNNNNNNNNNNNNNNNNNCAAUGCCCAAUAAGAUGAUUCCAAGCCCAACCAAGAAGUCAAACCAUACUUAGUUGAAAAUCAGGCCAAAUUGUUAAAGUGGCCCAAUUUGUAAAAAUUUUAAUUGUUUAAAUAUCUAAGUUUAAUUUUUAGACUUUAGGAUUAUUAUAUGUAAAAAUUCGGCCCAAGCAUCCCAUUAAAAUGCCUUGGCCGAAUUUCCCUCUUAAUUUAUUAAUUAGGUCUUUUUUAAGUUUUCCUAAUGAGAUUAGGAAAUAGAUAGAAGGCCUAUUAAUAGGCAUGGCCGACCACCUUAUUGUUUACAUUACAAUUACAUUGAAAAUUUCAGAUUUGCUUUGAGUGAAAAUUCUCUUUGAGUUCUUCAAGAAUUUUCUCUUGAGUUUUCUUUAGAAGUAGUUUUAACAAUCUUUUUGAUUGUGGGAGCCAUCUUCAGCCUUCUUCUUGCCAUUUUUCUUCAUUGGAGGGGAGAUUAGAGCCAUUUGAAGUGAGUUGUGAAAUCUUUAUCGAUUUCAAGGCUUCUUAGGACUUUAUCUUUCUUUUCGUGCUGUUCGCUUUGUUUUAAUUUUUCUGCUUGUGUCGUUUUCUUUAUCUAACUUGUUUAAAUUCUCUUGUUGCGUUCCAGCCCCGUUCAACAUUCAAGAAUUCGUUCGGCACCAUCCUUGAACAUCAAGAAACAUUUUGGGACAUAAAGCCCUCUUUCUUGCCGUCCAAACCCCUCUUUAUUGUGUUGGUUAUUUUAAUCUCAGAUCGGAUUGGUUUUACAUUGAUCUUGCUGUUUCGUUUCAGAUUUCAUUGUUCUUGUUCGUUUCAAUCAAUUUCCAAAGUUCCAGAUCAAUAUUUGCCCAACAUUGACAGCAAGAACCAUUCGUUAAUCAUAAUUUUUAGAUUUCUUACUGCCCAAGAACUCUAUUACCUAUUCUGAUUUGGUUUCUUAAUCAAUUGAGUUUAAUUUGCUGUUUUGUCUUCUUUAGAUCAGAUUCAAUUUGAAGAGUCAUUCUUGCUAUUUAGAUCUAGUUUCUUGGCCUCCAAGGAACCAUAUUAAUUCGUGUUCUUUUUAUUAGCUGAUUAUCCAUGGUUUUAUGGUUUUCGUUUCAGAUCUGGUACUGAUAAGUUUGAUUCUUUUGUUUCAUUUUAGAUCUGAUCAUCUAGAGUUUCGUAGGAGUUUCUCGUGGCUUGACAACUUGAUCUUGGUUUGCGCGCAACCCCUAUCAUUUGGUUUCAGAUUUUGGGUGUUUUGGGUGUUCUUGGUUGAGUUCUAAACUGAUCUCUAUUUUUUAAACUACAAAAAGCAGUUUUACCCAGAAAAUUUUAUGGAAAAAAAUUCAUUCGAGUGUGUAAACGUUUUCUGAUUGAUCUGAAAUUUUACAUGCAUAUUUUUGGCACUGAGAUUGAAUAUAAAAAAAUAUUUCCCACAAUAAAAUCAGUCAAAAAAGUCAAAAAAAUUAAAAAAGGCGAAAUCUAAUAAAAAUUAAAAAAAAACAUUCAGCGGGUUGAGUUUGGUGCCCAAACUUUCCAGAUCAAAAAUUCAAAUUUAAGGACAUGCCAGAUUUAAUUUCAUGAUUUUUGGAGAUCGGGAACACCUCGAAUGAAGUUGUAAAGUUACUCCGCAGUUUUUCGGGUUUUUGGAUUUCAGCAAUUUUUAUUGAUUCUUAGCUGUAGGUUUUCGUUUGUUUUGCCUUUAUUCUCCCUUUACACUAUCUAACACCUUUUUGUUUCUUGUGUUAGUAGGAUUUUAAGGUGUGCACAAUUCUUCCUCGGUGCAACACAAAUCAAUUGAUGUCUCGUCAGUUUUUGGCAUCCUAGUGCAAAUUAGGAUUCUUUGGUAGUUUCAGUUCAUACACUUUCUAAUUGGUUGAUAUAGACUCUACUAAAAAACUCACAAGACUGAAUUCUACCUCAUUGAGAGUUUGAUUUUUCUUUUUGAGUGAUUAACGGUGAGAUUUGCUAAUUUUUCCUUUUUGAGUGUUGAGUGUUUGUUUUGCAGGUUGUUGAAAAUGCCUGGGGUUGGUCAAGGUGAUAAUGACCAUAAUGAUGUCUAUGACAUAUUUAAAAAAUUCCAACAACAGUUAGACGAACGGGCUGUCUUACUUCGAACAUUGAGUGCUACUAUCAAUGAGAUGCGAUUGGAUCAAGAGCCUCAGUAUCGGGGUCCAAUUAAAGAGGAUAUGGAUAACCAGCCUUGUGCUCAUAGGCACGCUCCUAGACGUGUCCCUAGAACUGACUAUGACGUUCAUGAUCGCGGACAACCCUCUUUGGCAAAACCAAAGAGAGAGCAGCAAUGAGAACAUCUCUUUCAUACCCGUUGCCAUGUACAAGGUAAGGUUUGUAGAGUUAUUAUUGAUGGUGAAAGUUGCUCGAACGUAGCCAGCACGACGAUGGUGGAAAAGCUUUGCUUAACCACUACCAAGCAUCCACGACCUUAUCAACCACAAGGGCUUAGCAACGAAGGCCAAUUUAAGGUCACUCAACAAGUGCGCAUCACCUUUUCUAUCAGCAAGUAUCAAGACGAAGUCGUGUGCGACGUAGUGCCUAUUCAAGCCUGUCAUUUGUUGCUAGGAGAAUCAUGGCAAAGGGAUCGAAAGGUCACCCACGAUGAUCGUACCAAUAGGUAUUCUUUCAAGCAUCAAGGAAGGAAAGUCACCUUAGUGCCGUUCACUCCGGAACAAGUCCAUGAGGACCAAAUCAAACUGAAAAAUUCUGUUGUUAAAAUAAGUGAGGAAAAAGAAAAAGGAGAAGAGAAAAAUAAAAGUGAAAAAGAAGAAAAUGAAAAUGAAAAAGGCGAAAAGGAAAGCGAGAGAGAAACAAAAGAAAAUGUGAAUGAAGUGAGUGAAAAAGAGAGAGAGCUUAAACAAGGAAUGAGUGAAAAAGAAGAGAGUGCUCAAACACAAGGGAGGAAUAUUUUUGCUAACCCCCAUUCGAAAUCGCCUUGUGAUUUCUCGUUGUUUCAGGUUUGCAAGAUUCCACCCAUGGACAGGUUCCAGCUUCAUUACCCUUCUACCGAGAAACGUUUUCAAUUGAUUGAACAAGGUAAAACUAUCCUCGUUUUCCCACCUCUAAUGGUAAGCAAGGUGAAGUUUCUCUAUUCUCUAAACAACUUCAUUCAACUCGUAUUGAUAACUUUGCUCAUGACUUGAAUUUUGAAAAGGUACUGUAUGUUAUUGUCGAUAAUUGCCAUUCUUGGAUUGAUGACAUUUUAAUUUACUCAACAACAUUAAAUGAUCAUGUUUUCCAUGUUAGAAUGGUUUUAGACAUUCUAAGAGCUGAAAAAUUGUUUGCCAACCUUGAUAAAUGUACAUUUUGUUGUGAUAAGCUAAUAUUUUUAGGUUUCAUAAUUAGUGCUCAAGGUAUUCAUGUCGAUGAGGACAAAGUUAAGGUAAUCAAGGAGUGGCCAACUCCUAAAUCGAUAACUGAGGUGAGAUCUUUCCAUGGUUUAGCUAGUUUUUAUAGACGAUUUGUGAAAGAUUUCUCCACUAUUGUUGAGUUGGUGAAAUCCUUACACGAGAAGGCUAGGCAGCGAAUAGCCAAAACAAAUGACAUCAACACCAACAAAGCAAACAAGAGGCGCAAACGGGUUGUCUUUGAAUCCGGAGAUUGGGUUUGGGUCCAUAUGAGGAAAGAACGAUUUCCUACAAAAAGAAAGACCAAGCUGGACCCAAGGGGCAAUGGGCCUUUCCAAGUACUCGAGCGGAUCAACGACAAUGCCUAUAAAAUUGAUCUACCUGGUGAGUACAAUGUAAGUUCUACUUUUAAUGUGGCUGACUUGUCCCCAUUUGAUUUUUAAGAUUCGAGGACGAAUCUUUUUGAGGAAGGGGGGAAUGAUACGAGUCACAAAGGCCCAACCCAAGCUGAAGAACGUGAUGGGCUCAAAUUACCACAAGGCCCAAUAAUAAGGUCAAAGGCCAGACAAAUGCGUUCCAAACUAAAUGGGACCAUUCAGGAAUUUGUUAGCAAGGCCUUAGAUGCAUACACGAAAGAAAGAGAAAAUCAAGAUUCACUUUCUUGUUUUCAAGAAAAUCAAGAAAUCGAAUCUUGGCCCAAUUU